CCUCCUUUUGCAGCAGUUAUGGAGUCAGUAGAAAAAAUAAAGAAAGAAAGAAAAUCAUGCAAGGAGGGUGAGCCUUUCUAAGAUUGUAAGCCCACGCCAUCAUAGCCUAUUGCCUCAGAAUCAUUAUGGUAUUGGAAAUGAUCAUAUUAUAGCAUAAGGGAGAAGUUUAAUUACAUUAAGGUUGAUGGAUUAGCAGAAUUAAUUCCAUGAAGAACACCAUAAGAAGGGACAUGGUGAUGGUGGUGAGUUGAAGGCCCUGCCUCAGAUAAACCAAGUCCUCCUCCUAUUAUUCUCUGGCUCCCCAUGCAUGCAACAACUCUUUUAGCUUCCUUACUCCAUUCUCUUCUUCCCUGAAAUAAUAUUUAGCAUCACUCUAGUAUGAAUAAAUAUGUAAAAAGAAAAAAAGUGGUACAUAUUUAUAUAUGGUCUAAACUUAUAUAUA
This is a non-coding RNA of Arachis ipaensis, 442 nucleotides long. The record is from RefSeq and is a predicted model, not a curated record. NCBI's taxonomy places the organism in Eukaryota, Viridiplantae, Streptophyta, Magnoliopsida, Fabales, Fabaceae.